GUUCAUAUAGUUUAAAAAAAACGAUAAAUUGUGGCUUUAUAAAUGCAUUCCCGCUAUGAACU
This 62-nucleotide transfer RNA is filed under the name Phascolosoma pacificum. RNAcentral describes it as "tRNA-His". Lineage: Eukaryota; Metazoa; Annelida; Sipuncula; Phascolosomatiformes; Phascolosomatidae. The record is from RNAcentral.